AAAGGGUGCGCAGNCGGAAUAGUAAGUCAGAGGUGAAAGCCCACAGCUCAACUGUGGAAUUGCCUUUGAUACUGUUAUUCUUGAGUGUAGUUGAAGUAGGCGGAAUAUAGCAUGUANCGGUGAAAUGCAUAGAUAUGCUAUAGAACACCAAUUGCGAAGGCAGCUUGCUAAACUAUAACUGACGCUGAGGCACGAAAGCGUGGGGAGCGAACAGGAUUAGAUACCCUGGUAGUCCACGCCGUAAACUAUGAACACUCGCUGUUGGCAAUACACAGUCAGCGGCUGAGCGAAAGCGUUAAGUGUUCCACCUGGGAAGUACGAUCGCAAGGUUGAAACUCAAAGGAAUUGACGGGGGCCCGCACAAGCGGAGGAGCAUGUGGUUUAAUUCGAUGAUACGCGAAGAACCUUACCUGGGCUUAAAUGUAUAUUGACGUACUGAGAAAUCAGUAUUUCUUCGGACAAUUUACAAGGUGCUGCAUGGUUGUCGUCAGCUCGUGCCGUGAGGUGUCGGGUUAAGUCCCAUAACGAGCGCAACCCCUACUUCUAGUUACCAGCAUUUCGGAUGGGGACUCUAGAGGAACUGCCUACGCAAGUAGAGAGGAAGGUGGGGAUGACGUCAAAUCAGCACGGCCCUUAUGUCCAGGGCUACACACGUGCUACAAUGGCCGGUACAGAGGGCAGCUACAUAGCAAUAUGAUGCUAAUCUCAAAAGCCGGUCUCAGUCCGGAUUGGAGUCUGCAACUCGACUCCAUGAAGCUGGAUUCGCUAGUAAUCGCACAUCAGCAAUGGUGCGGUGAAUACGUUCNCCGGGCCUUGUACACACCGCCCGUCAAGCCAUGGAAGUUGGGGGUACCUGAAGUCGAUUGCCGUAAGGCGUUGCCUAGGGUAAACCAAUGACUGG
RNAcentral lists this ribosomal RNA (901 nucleotides) under uncultured organism. RNAcentral's name for it is "bacterial SSU rRNA". It matches the Rfam family "Bacterial small subunit ribosomal RNA", at positions 562 to 1478 of the family's 1533-position model. The record is from RNAcentral.